AGUUGCGAUCAUACCAGCACUAAUGCACCGGAUCCUAUCAGAAUUCCGCAGUUAAGCGUGCUUGGGCAAGAGUAGUACUAGGAUGGGUGACCCCUUGGGAAGUCCUCGUGUUGCAACCUCUUUUUUUUCUUUUUUUGGUUUAUUUUAUUUACUAGUCGCUGUAUUUUUGGCGUAGCAUGCGAGCGGCCGAUUUUGUGAAAGGAAGGCUUUGACGAAGGCGCGUGACGUAGUCCUCACAUGAGGGCAUAGGUGCGAAUGGGAUCAAGGCGUGGUAAGGUAUAAAGGAAUAAGGAGAAGGUAUUCUUUCGGUUGCGAUCAUACCAGCACUAAUGCAUUGGAUCUCAUCAUAACUCCGUAGUUAAGCGUGCUUGGGCGAGAGUAGUACUAGGAUGGGUGACCCCCUGGGAAGUCCUCGUGUUGCAACCC
Molecule: long non-coding RNA, 426 nt
Filed under: Helianthus annuus (common sunflower)
Lineage: Eukaryota; Viridiplantae; Streptophyta; Magnoliopsida; Asterales; Asteraceae
Source: RNAcentral